RNAcentral lists this ribosomal RNA (195 nucleotides) under uncultured bacterium. Its description in RNAcentral is "partial 16S ribosomal RNA". It matches the Rfam family "Bacterial small subunit ribosomal RNA", at positions 335 to 524 of the family's 1533-position model. The record is from RNAcentral.
ACUCCUACGGAAGGCAGCAGUAGGGAAUAUUGGACAAUGGGGUGCGAGCCUGAUCCAGCCAUGCCGCGUGCAGGAAGACGGCCUUCUGGGUUGUAAACUGCUUUUGCCAGGGGAUAAAAAGUACCCUGCGGGGGAAAAUUAGAAGGUACCUGGUGAAUAAGCCACGGCUAACUACGUGCCAGCAGCCGCGGUAAU